GGUUGACCUCGGAUUAGGUAGGAU
This 24-nucleotide ribosomal RNA is filed under the name Daldinia gelatinosa. Its description in RNAcentral is "partial 28S ribosomal RNA". Lineage: Eukaryota; Fungi; Ascomycota; Sordariomycetes; Xylariales; Hypoxylaceae. The record is from RNAcentral.